RNAcentral lists this transfer RNA (62 nucleotides) under Uvarovites inflatus. Its description in RNAcentral is "tRNA-Cys". The record is from RNAcentral. Lineage: Eukaryota; Metazoa; Arthropoda; Insecta; Orthoptera; Tettigoniidae.
GGCCUUAUAGUCAAUAAUGAUGUCAGACUGCAAUUCUGAAGGAGUAGAUGCUACUAAGGCUU